CCCUUAGAUGUUCUGGGCUGCACGCGUGCUACAAUGGCGCUUGCAACAAGUCUUGCCAACCCGAUAGGGUGAGCGGAUCUUUGAAGAGGCGUCGUGAUCGGGACAGUUGAUUGCAAUUAUUCGACUCGAACGAGGAAUUCCUUGUAAUCGCGAUUCAUCAUAUCGCGCUGAAUACGUCCCUGCCCUUUGUACACACCGCCCGUCGCUCCUACCGAUUGAGCGAUCCGGUGAAUGUUUUGGGCUGGCGUCAGAAGCGGUUCGCUCCUGACACUACGAAAUUUUGUAAACCUUAUCGCUUAGAGGAAGGAAAAGUCGUAACA
RNAcentral lists this ribosomal RNA (320 nucleotides) under uncultured eukaryote. Its description in RNAcentral is "partial 18S ribosomal RNA". It matches the Rfam family "Eukaryotic small subunit ribosomal RNA", at positions 1470 to 1796 of the family's 1831-position model. The record is from RNAcentral.